RNAcentral lists this ribosomal RNA (523 nucleotides) under uncultured bacterium. RNAcentral's name for it is "bacterial SSU rRNA". It matches the Rfam family "Bacterial small subunit ribosomal RNA", at positions 988 to 1509 of the family's 1533-position model. The record is from RNAcentral.
CCUGUGCUCGCCGGAGAGAUCCGGUUUUCCCGCAAGGGACGCAGAGACAGGUGCUGCAUGGCUGUCGUCAGCUCGUGUCGUGAGAUGUUGGGUUAAGUCCCGCAACGAGCGNAACCCUCGCCUUUAGUUGCCAUCAUUAAGUUGGGCACUCUAGAGGGACCGCCGGCGACAAGCCGGAGGAAGGUGGGGAUGACGUCAAGUCCUCAUGGCCCUUACACCCUGGGCUACACACGUGCUACAAUGGCGGUGACAGUGGGCAGCCAACUCGCGAGAGUGAGCUAAUCCCAAAAAACCGUCCCAGUUCAGAUUGCACUCUGCAACUCGGGUGCAUGAAGGUGGAAUCGCUAGUAAUCGCAGAACAGCAGGCUGCGGUGAAUACGUUCCCGGGCCUUGUACACACCGCCCGUCACACCAUGGGAGUUGGCUCUACCCGAAGACGGUGCGCUAACCUCGCAAGAGGAGGCAGCCGGCCACGGUCGGGUCAGCGACUGGGGUGAAGUCGUAACAAGGUAGGCGUAGUGCU